AGUGAACGCUGGCGGCAGGCCUAACACAUGCAAGUCGAACGGCAGCACGGCAGUAGCAAUACUGUGGGUGGCGAGUGGCGGACGGGUGAGGAAUACAUCGGGAUCUACCCUGUUGUGGGGGAUAACGUAGGGAAACUUACGCUAAUACCGCAUAAGAACUGAGGUUGAAAGCGGCGGACCGCAAGGCGUCGCGUGAUUGGAUGAACCGAUGUCCGAUUAGCUAGUUGGCGGGGUAAAGGCCCACCAAGGCGACGAUCGGUAGCUGGUCUGAGAGGACGACCAGCCACACUGGAACUGAGACACGGUCCAGACUCCUACGGGAGGCAGCAGUGGGGAAUAUUGGACAAUGGGCGCAAGCCUGAUCCAGCCAUGCCGCGUGGGUGAAG
This 386-nucleotide ribosomal RNA is filed under the name uncultured bacterium. RNAcentral's name for it is "bacterial SSU rRNA". It matches the Rfam family "Bacterial small subunit ribosomal RNA", at positions 30 to 410 of the family's 1533-position model. The record is from RNAcentral.